Molecule: long non-coding RNA, 835 nt
Filed under: Papio anubis (olive baboon)
Lineage: Eukaryota; Metazoa; Chordata; Mammalia; Primates; Cercopithecidae
Description: lncRNA (ENSPANG00000048880.1)
Source: RNAcentral
AAUGUAUCAUGACCUAAAUAAUUCCAAAUGCUUUCUUAAUGAGUUACAACUAAACAGAUUACAACUGAAUUUAAUAUAAGUAGGUCAGUGAUAUGGUUCAGCUCUGUGUCUCCACUCAAAUCUCACCUUGAUUUGUAAUCCCCCUAAUCCCCAUAUGUCAAGGGCAGGACCAGGUGGAGGUAACCAGAUCAUGGAGGCAGUUUUCCCCGUGCUGUUCUCAUGAUGAUGAAUGAGUCUCACGAGAUCUUUCAGUUUUAUAAGUGUCUGGCAUUUCCUUUACUUUCACUCACUCUGUCCUGCUGCCCUGUGAAGAAGGUGCCUGCUUCUCCUUUGCCUUCCACCAUGAUUAUGCUCCCCUAUCAUUCAGUCAUGGAGAGUUUUGAAGGCUGAAAAGUCCAAGAUCAAGGGCCCAGCAAGUUUGGUGUCUGGUGACAGCUGCUCUCUGUGCUUCCAAGAUGGUGCCUUGCUGCUGCAUCCUCCAGAAUGGAUGGAUGCUGGGUCCUCAUAUGGCAAAAGGUGGAAGGACAAAGGAGGCAAACUCUCUCUGUCAAGCCCUUUAAUGAGGGCACCUAAAUCUCAUUCAAUCACUUCGUAAAAGCCGCACCUCUUUAUACUAUUACAUUGGGUAUUAAGUUUCAACAUUCAAUUUGAAGAGAACAAAAACAUUCAAACCAUAGCACCAGGUAAAAAUAAAUACACAGGAUAAGAAAGGGUCAGAGGACCUCUGAGCCAUCUCUAAAUCUUACAGAGACCUCUCAGGACAUCCCAGGACCAGGACUUUGUGUGAGACAUGUAAAAAUGGACCAUGCAUGCUGUUAGCCUGCUUGUGGCUGCU